GGAAGUAAAAGUCGUAACAAGGUCUCCGUUGGUGAACCAGCGGAGGGAUCAUUACAGAGUUGCAAAACUCCCUAAACCAUUGUGAACCUACCACUAAACAGUUGCUUCGGCGGGUGGGCUUCCCCCUCCCCCUUCGGGGGGUCGGGCGCCCCUAGACAGCCCGCCGGAGGUACCCAAAACUCUUGUUUAAUUAAAGGCCUCUCUGAGUACUGUACUUAAAUAAGUCAAAACUUUCAACAACGGAUCUCUUGGUUCUGGCAUCGAUGAAGAACGCAGCGAAAUGCGAUAAGUAAUGUGAAUUGCAGAAUUCAGUGAAUCAUCGAAUCUUUGAACGCACAUUGCGCCCGCCAGUAUUCUGGCGGGCAUGCCUGUUCGAGCGUCAUUUCAACCAUCAAGCCCAGCGCUUGUGUUGGGGCCCCGCGGCUGCCCGCGGGCCCUUAAAGACAGUGGCGGUUCUCGCUGCAGCACCGAGCGUAGUAGAAUACACCUCGCCCUGGGAGCUGCGCGCGCGCCCGCCGUAAAACCCCCCACCUCUCACAAGGUUGACCUCGGAUCAGGUAGGAAUACCCGCUGAACUUAAGCAUAUCAAUAAGCGGAGGA
This 600-nucleotide ribosomal RNA is filed under the name Chaetothyriales sp. AR-2010. RNAcentral's name for it is "eukaryotic LSU rRNA". The stretch from base 229 to 382 matches the Rfam family "5.8S ribosomal RNA". The record is from RNAcentral. Lineage: Eukaryota; Fungi; Ascomycota; Eurotiomycetes; Chaetothyriales.